RNAcentral lists this ribosomal RNA (185 nucleotides) under Pseudomonas oryzihabitans. RNAcentral's name for it is "partial 23S ribosomal RNA". It matches the Rfam family "Bacterial large subunit ribosomal RNA", at positions 1 to 179 of the family's 2925-position model. The record is from RNAcentral. Lineage: Bacteria; Pseudomonadati; Pseudomonadota; Gammaproteobacteria; Pseudomonadales; Pseudomonadaceae.
GUUAUAUGGUCAAGUGAAGAAGCGCAUACGGUGGAUGCCUUGGCAGUCAGAGGCGAUGAAAGACGUGAUAGCCUGCGAUAAGCUUCGGUGAGGUGGCAAAUGACCUGUGACCCGGAGAUCUCUGAAUGGGGAAACCCACCUAGCAUAAGCUAGGUAUCUUAACCUGAAUCCAUAGGGUUAAGAGG